GACGAACGCUGGCGGCGUGCCUAAUACAUGCAAGUAGAACGCUGAAGAGAGGAGCUUGCUCUUCUUGGAUGAGUUGCGAACGGGUGAGUAACGCGUAGGUAACCUGCCUGGUAGCGGGGGAUAACUAUUGGAAACGAUAGCUAAUACCGCAUAAAAUUGAUUAUUGCAUGAUAAUUGAUUGAAAGAUGCAAUUGCAUCACUACCAGAUGGACCUGCGUUGUAUUAGCUAGUUGGUGAGGUAACGGCUCACCAAGGCGACGAUACAUAGCCGACCUGAGAGGGUGAUCGGCCACACUGGGACUGAGACACGGCCCAGACUCCUACGGGAGGCAGCAGUAGGGAAUCUUCGGCAAUGGGGGGAACCCUGACCGAGCAACGCCGCGUGAGUGAAGAAGGUUUUCGGAUCGUAAAGCUCUGUUGUAAGAGAAGAACGGGUGUGAGAGUGGAAAGUUCACACUGUGACGGUAUCUUACCAGAAAGGGACGGCUAACUACGUGCCAGCAGCCGCGGUAAUACGUAGGUCCCGAGCGUUGUCCGGAUUUAUUGGGCGUAAAGCGAGCGCAGGCGGUUAGAUAAGUCUGAAGUUAAAGGCUGUGGCUUAACCAUAGUAUGCUUUGGAAACUGUUUAACUUGAGUGCAGAAGGGGAGAGUGGAAUUCCAUGUGUAGCGGUGAAAUGCGUAGAUAUAUGGAGGAACACCGGUGGCGAAAGCGGCUCUCUGGUCUGUAACUGACGCUGAGGCUCGAAAGCGUGGGGAGCAAACAGGAUUAGAUACCCUGGUAGUCCACGCCGUAAACGAUGAGUGCUAGGUGUUAGGCCCUUUCCGGGGCUUAGUGCCGCAGCUAACGCAUUAAGCACUCCGCCUGGGGAGUACGACCGCAAGGUUGAAACUCAAAGGAAUUGACGGGGGCCCGCACAAGCGGUGGAGCAUGUGGUUUAAUUUGAAGCAACGCGAAGAACCUUACCAGGUCUUGACAUCCCUCUGACCGCUCUAGAGAUAGAGUUUUCCUUCGGGACAGAGGUGACAGGUGGUGCAUGGUUGUCGUCAGCUCGUGUCGUGAGAUGUUGGGUUAAGUCCCGCAACGAGCGCAACCCCUAUUGUUAGUUGCCAUCAUUGAGUUGGGCACUCUAGCGAGACUGCCGGUAAUAAACCGGAGGAAGGUGGGGAUGACGUCAAAUCAUCAUGCCCCUUAUGACCUGGGCUACACACGUGCUACAAUGGCUGGUACAACGAGUCGCAAGCCGGUGACGGCAAGCUAAUCUCUGAAAGCCAGUCUCAGUUCGGAUUGUAGGCUGCAACUCGCCUACAUGAAGUCGGAAUCGCUAGUAAUCGCGGAUCAGCACGCCGCGGUGAAUACGUUCCCGGGCCU
Molecule: ribosomal RNA, 1369 nt
Filed under: uncultured bacterium
Lineage: Bacteria
Description: bacterial SSU rRNA
Rfam family: Bacterial small subunit ribosomal RNA
Source: RNAcentral